This 492-nucleotide ribosomal RNA is filed under the name uncultured soil bacterium. RNAcentral describes it as "bacterial SSU rRNA". It matches the Rfam family "Bacterial small subunit ribosomal RNA", at positions 8 to 495 of the family's 1533-position model. The record is from RNAcentral.
AGAGUUUGAUCCUGGCUCAGAUUGAACGCUGGCGGCGUGCCUAACACAUGCAAGUCGAGCGGUAACAAGUGUAGCAAUACAUGCUGACGAGCGGCGGACGGGUGAGUAACGCUUGGGAAUCUGCCUGUUAGUGGGGGACAACCCGGGGAAACUCGGGCUAAUACCGCAUACGCACUACGGUGGAAAGCCGGGGACCGCAAGGCCUGGCGCUAACAGAUGAGCCCAAGUCGGGUUAGCUAGUUGGUAGGGCAACGGCCUACCAAGGCGACGAUCCGUAACUGGUCUGAGAGGACGACCAGUCACACCGGAACUGAGACACGGUCCGGACUCCUACGGGAGGCAGCAGUGGGGAAUAUUGGACAAUGGGGGCAACCCUGAUCCAGCGACGCCGCGUGGGUGAAGAAGGCCUGCGGGUUGUAAAGCCCUUUCGGUUGGGAAGAAAAGUUCUGAUCUAACACAUCGGGACCUGACGAACCAACUAAAGAAGCCCGU